UACGAAGGGUGCAAACGUUGCUCGGAAUUAUUGGGCGUAAAGCGCACGUAGGCGGCAUUGCAAGUCGGAUGUGAAAUCCCUCGGCUUAACCAAGGAAGUGCAUCCGAAACUGCAGUGCUUGAGUACUUAAGAGGAUCGCGGAAUUCCCGGUGUAGAGGUGAAAUUCGUAGAUAUCGGGAGGAACACCAGUGGCGAAGGCGGCGAUCUGGGAAGAUACUGACGCUGAGGUGCUAAAGCGUGGGGAGCAAACAGG
RNAcentral lists this ribosomal RNA (253 nucleotides) under uncultured bacterium. RNAcentral describes it as "partial 16S ribosomal RNA". It matches the Rfam family "Bacterial small subunit ribosomal RNA", at positions 524 to 776 of the family's 1533-position model. The record is from RNAcentral.